CGGGGUGCAGCAGGCGCGAAACCUCCGCAAUGUGAGAAAUCGCGACGGGGGGAUCCCAAGUGCCAUUCUUAACGGGAUGGCUUUUCUUUAGUGUAAAAAGCUUUUGGAAUAAGAGCUGGGCAAGACCGGUGCCAGCCGCCGCGGUAAUACAAGGGC
RNAcentral lists this ribosomal RNA (156 nucleotides) under uncultured archaeon. RNAcentral's name for it is "partial 16S ribosomal RNA". It matches the Rfam family "Archaeal small subunit ribosomal RNA", at positions 326 to 480 of the family's 1478-position model. The record is from RNAcentral.